CUGGCAACUGAUACUCUCAAUCUGGCUUGCAGACAGAAAGGCAGUGUGGAAGUGUCUUCAUGAAGGAAACCAACUUUGGAGCUGCCUGGGAAUUGGAUCAUCUUUAAGAAGAGGUUGAGUUUCUCCCUCCUUCGUGAUGCAUUGCUGAUACAGAAUCCUAAGGAGAAAGCCUCCCAAUCCAGCCCCACUCUAAAUCAGAUUAUAAAGCCUGUGAUUUAUUGAAAUUCAGUCUUGAAGCACUGAAGAUUAUUCCCCUAGUAUUGGAACAAGGUACAGAAGAAAUCAAGCUUCUCUUUUAUUCAAAAAUUCUUUGGAAAAUAUUCAUAGCUGUGCUCUUUGUGGUGGCCAAAAAUUGGAAAACGAGGGGAUGCCCAUCAAUUGGGGAAUGGCUGAACAAAUUGUGGUAUAUGUUGGUGAUGGAAUAUUAUUGUGCAAAAAGGAAUAAUAAAGUGGAGGAAUUCCAUGGAGACUGGAACAACCUCCAGGAAGUGAUGCAGAGCGAGAGGAGCAGAACCAGGAGAACAUUGUACACAGAGACAAACACACUGUGGUAUAAUUGAACGUAAUGGACUUCUCCAUUAGUGGCGGUGUAAUGUCCCUGAACAAUCUGCAGGGAUCUAGGAGAAAAAACACUAUCCAUAAGCAAAGGACAAACUGUGGGAGUAGAAACACCGAGGAAAAGCAACUGCCUGACUACAGCGGUUGAGGGGACAUGACAGAGGAGAGACUCUAAACGAACACUCUAAUGCAAAUAUUAACAACAUGGCAAUGGGUUUGAAUCAAGAACACAUGUGAUACCCAGUGGAAUCAUGUGUUGGCUACGGGGAGUGGGAGGGAGGAAAAGAAAAUGAUCUUUGUCUUUAAUGAAUAAUGCAUGGAAAUGAUCAAAUAAAAUACUAUAA
Molecule: long non-coding RNA, 902 nt
Filed under: Monodelphis domestica (gray short-tailed opossum)
Lineage: Eukaryota; Metazoa; Chordata; Mammalia; Didelphimorphia; Didelphidae
Description: lncRNA (ENSMODG00000049561.1)
Source: RNAcentral